UCCUUUGCCUGGCACCUUGUUCUGAGAGUAACUGAAUUGAGAACAAGGAGGCAUGCAAAGGAU
This 63-nucleotide microRNA precursor is filed under the name Monodelphis domestica (gray short-tailed opossum). Its description in RNAcentral is "microRNA mdo-mir-12297a precursor". Lineage: Eukaryota; Metazoa; Chordata; Mammalia; Didelphimorphia; Didelphidae. The record is from miRBase by way of RNAcentral.